Molecule: ribosomal RNA, 766 nt
Filed under: uncultured archaeon
Lineage: Archaea
Description: bacterial SSU rRNA
Rfam family: Archaeal small subunit ribosomal RNA
Source: RNAcentral
UUUAUGUCUAGCAUGCGAGUCAUUGUAGCAUACAAGGCAGACGGCUCAGUAACGCGUAGUCAAUCUACCCUAUGGACGGGAAUAACCUCGGGAAACUGAGAAUAAUGCCCGAUAGAACAUUAUACCUGGAACGGUUUAUGUUUCAAAUGAUUUAUCGCCAUAGGAUGGGACUGCGGCCUAUCAGUUUGUUGGUGAGGUAAUGGCCCACCAAGACUAUUACAGGUACGGGCUCUGAGAGGAGUAGCCCGGAGAUGGGUACUGAGACACGGACCCAGGUCCUAUGGGGCGCAGCAGGCGAGAAAACUUUGCAAUGUGCGAAAGCACGACAAGGUUAAUCCGAGUGGUUUCUGCUAAAGAAACCUUUUGUCAGUCCUAGAAACACUAACGAAUAAGGGGUGGGCAAGUUCUGGUGUCAGCCGCCGCGGUAAAACCAGCACCUCAAGUGGUCAGGAUGAUUAUUGGGCCUAAAGCAUCCGUAGCCCGUUUUGUAAGUUUUCGGUUAAAUCCAUGCGCUUAACGUAUGGGCUGCCGGGAAUACUGCAUAACUAGGAAGUGGGAGAGGUAGACGGUACUCGGGAGGAAGGGGUAAAAUCCUUUGAUCUCUUGAUGACCACCUGUGGCGAAGGCGGUCUACCAGAACACGUUCGACGGUGAGGGAUGAAAGCUGGGGGAGCAACCCGGGAUUAGAUACCCGGGUAGUCCCCAGCUGUAACUAUGCAACUUCAGUGAUGCAUGCCUUGUUGCCAUGUAGUGCUGCAGGGUAAGC